AUUUCUGAGGAUGAAUGGAAUGAACCACUAGGACGAGGAACUGAGAUUAGGUUGCAUCUUAGCUGGGGAGUUUUGGAGGAAGAUAAACUUAAACUGAGCACUUGAAUUUUAUGUUGUAUGAUCUAAUUGGUAUCUGCGGAUGAUGUAACCAAGGAAGUGGAUGUUGAAGUUCCAGCAGACGAAGAUGACAGCGAAGCUGAAUCAUCUGAAAUGAGUUUCAUAGAGGGUAAAGAAGUAGAAGAAGAUGGUGAGAAAUAAAAACUGGACAAAUAGACUGG
Long non-coding RNA from Papaver somniferum (opium poppy), 278 nucleotides. RefSeq lists it as uncharacterized. Lineage: Eukaryota; Viridiplantae; Streptophyta; Magnoliopsida; Ranunculales; Papaveraceae. The transcript is spliced from 3 exons. The record is from RefSeq and is a predicted model, not a curated record.